This 253-nucleotide ribosomal RNA is filed under the name uncultured bacterium. RNAcentral's name for it is "partial 16S ribosomal RNA". It matches the Rfam family "Bacterial small subunit ribosomal RNA", at positions 524 to 776 of the family's 1533-position model. The record is from RNAcentral.
UACGUAGGGUGCAAGCGUUAAUCGGAAUUACUGGGCGUAAAGCGUGCGCAGGCGGUGAUGUAAGACAGAUGUGAAAUCCCCCGGCUUAACCUGGGAACUGCGUCUGAUACUGGGAGGCUUGAGUAUGGGAGAGGGAUGUAGAAUUCCAGGUGUAGCGGUGAAAUGCGUAGAUAUCUGGAGGAAUACCGGUGGCGAAGGCGGCAUCCUGGACCAUAACUGACGCUGAGGCGCGAAAGCUAGGGGAGCAAACGGG